RNAcentral lists this ribosomal RNA (253 nucleotides) under uncultured bacterium. Its description in RNAcentral is "partial 16S ribosomal RNA". It matches the Rfam family "Bacterial small subunit ribosomal RNA", at positions 524 to 776 of the family's 1533-position model. The record is from RNAcentral.
UACGAAGGGUGCAAGCGUUACUCGGAAUUACUGGGCGUAAAGCGUGCGUAGGCGGUUUGUUAAGUCCGAUGUGAAAGCCCUGGGCUCAACCUGGGAAUGGCAUUGGAUACUGGCAGGCUAGAGUGCGGUAGAGGGCAGUGGAAUUCCCGGUGUAGCAGUGAAAUGCGUAGAGAUCGGGAGGAACAUCUGUGGCGAAGGCGACUGCCUGGACCAGCACUGACACUGAGGCACGAAAGCGUGGGGAGCAAACAGG